GACAGAAAGGCAGGAGGAGCAGAGACCCGAGGCGUGAACUGAACUUCAGAGUGCAAGCCUGGGAAUGCUGGGCACCCCGUGGCUGGAAUAAGAGAGCUGCACACUGAAGUGGGAGAUGGCAGAUAUAGGCUGGUGGUGAGGAAAGUCCAGGACUGCCAGUGUGUGUUCAGAUACCUACUUUCACAAUGGAUGCC
This is a long non-coding RNA of Oreochromis aureus, 194 nucleotides long. RefSeq lists it as uncharacterized. NCBI's taxonomy places the organism in Eukaryota, Metazoa, Chordata, Actinopteri, Cichliformes, Cichlidae. The transcript has 3 exons. The record is from RefSeq and is a predicted model, not a curated record.